AGAAUGAACGCUGGCGGCGUGCUUAACACAUGCAAGUCGAGCGCGAAAGCGACUUCGGUCGUGAGUAGAGCGGCGAACGGGUGAGUAACACGUGGAUAACCUACCUGGGAGCGGGGGACAACUCGGGGAAACUUGAGCUAAUACCGCAUACGGUUGCAUCUUCUUGGAGGUGCAAGGAAAGGUGGCUUCGGCUGCCACUCCCAGAGGGGUCCGCGCUUGAUUAGCUAGUUGGCGGGGUAACGGCCCACCAAGGCGACGAUCAAUAGCCGGCCUGAGAGGGCGAACGGCCACACUGGAACUGAGACACGGUCCAGACUCCUACGGGAGGCAGCAGUGGGGAAUAUUGGACAAUGGGCGAAAGCCUGAUCCAGCAACGCCGCGUGGAGGAUGAAGGUCUUCGGAUUGUAAACUCCUGUCAGGGGGGACGAAAAGGCUUCGGUUAAUACCCGGAGUCUAUGACGGUACCUCCAGAGGAAGCCCCGGCUAACUCCGUGCCAGCAGCCGCGGUAAUACGGAGGGGGCGAGCGUUAUUCGGAAUUAUUGGGCGUAAAGGGCGCGUAGGCGGCCCGACAAGUCAGGGGUGAAAUCCCUCGGCUCAACCGAGGAAUGGCCUCUGAAACUGUAGGGCUUGAGGCCGGGAGAGGGUGGUGGAAUUCCCAGUGUAGCGGUGAAAUGCGUAGAUAUUGGGGGGAACACCAGUGGCGAAGGCGGCCACCUGGACCGGUACUGACGCUGAGGCGCGAAAGCGUGGGUAGCAAACAGGAUUAGAUACCCUGGUAGUCCACGCUGUAAACGAUGAGCACUCGGUGCUGCGGGUGUCGACCCCUGCAGUGCCUUAGGUAACCCGUUAAGUGCUCCGCCUGGGGAGUACGGUCGCAAGGCUG
RNAcentral lists this ribosomal RNA (884 nucleotides) under uncultured bacterium. Its description in RNAcentral is "bacterial SSU rRNA". It matches the Rfam family "Bacterial small subunit ribosomal RNA", at positions 26 to 896 of the family's 1533-position model. The record is from RNAcentral.